GAAACUACUGCUUCAUGAGCCAAGCAGUGAGCUUGCUUCCUGCAGGAAGGAGGAGACCUCUCUCAUUAUCUGGGCUCUGGGAGCCAGUCUGUUAGAGCCGUCUCCUUUUGCUGCUCCCCAAGGACAGACGGAGGCGUUUGAGGUAGACAGAGCAGCAGUGUGCAUGCUCCACAGGCUUAUCAACCACUAUCAGCUGGGAUCUGCUGUUUGCUCCAGACUCCACCUUCGCUUGGAAAGCGCUUGCAAUUCCAUGAGGUAAUUCUUCCUCCCAGCCCUAUGGCUUGUUACCACGACCAUGUGCUCCUACCAUAAGGCAGGACCGAAAAAAGCCUUUCCCCUGUAUCCAUGUGCCAGAACUUCCUCUUUCUCCACCCUACUGCUGUGCUCCGCGUGUUUUCGUUCCUGCCAUCCCUAGGGCGGGCGGUCAGGGAGGGUGAAACACCACACGCCGAGCAGAUCCAUCGUUCUCCCACGCCCCGAGCUGCCUGACCAACCGUCCCGCUUGGGCCUGCCCGGAUACCAGGGCCCGCCUGCGCCGAGCCACCGCCGGUUGUGAGUUACCGUAGUGGAGGAAAACCCCUUUUAGUUUUGUAAACACAACACUGCACCAGCUACUAAGAAGAAUAACUGUUACAGCUGAACCCAGGAUGGUUUGACAAAAUGAAGGUGAAAAAAGAAUCAGUGGAGAUAGAGCACACCACAGGCAUGCCUGGACAUCCUGAGCAGCUCAUCAUUGAAGAGGCAGCUAACUAAACUGUAAGCUCAAAGUGAAACCAUUUCAGUGCUCAGAGAUGAACACCUCUUCUCCUUUUUUCACCCUCCUGACGUCCCUAGUUUAGGAUCAAGAAUAAACUAUGCAUUUGUGCCUUUGUAAGCAAGGCUCCCAUGGGGCAAUCCUCGUAAGCACUGGUAGCAAGGAGGCUUAUAAAAAGCAGCUCCAGGUGGAAGUGGGUCUUUUCCUGCUCCUCGCUCUAUCCUGCUGCAAUUCCCAUUCAUCCAGGCCUGGAAAACUGCCUGCCUUUCAGACUGAGCUGCACAUAUAAGAGAGUUGUGGUCACUUGAACCAGGUAUUAGAAUAUCUACCUUCUGUUGAUUCACUGAUGUUCUGGGGAGUUUCCUUGCAUAUGGUGUAGGACGUCAACUUAACAGUGGUCAUUCAACAGCAGAUGUAACUUAAAAAAAUAAAGCCUCCCUCUAAAGAAAACGAGCAGCUUUGAUGCAUCUUUAAACUUGGUUUCAAAGAAGUUGGUGUUAAUACAGCUGCCGUCAUGUUGAGGCUUUUUAGCUUCCCUGUCAGCAUUUCGUAUUUCCCUACAGAAUGCAGAGUGAAUGUGGUGUGUGGUGUAUUAUUUAUUACAUAAGAAACCUGACAGCAUGUGUGGUGUUCUGUCUCAAAAGUCAUGUUGGAAACCUACUGCACCACAGAUUAAACAGUGAAUAUUAGUGCUAA
Molecule: long non-coding RNA, 1450 nt
Organism: Neopsephotus bourkii (Bourke's parrot)
Lineage: Eukaryota; Metazoa; Chordata; Aves; Psittaciformes; Psittacidae
Exons: 4
Source: RefSeq, a predicted model, not a curated record